This 460-nucleotide ribosomal RNA is filed under the name uncultured bacterium. Its description in RNAcentral is "partial 16S ribosomal RNA". It matches the Rfam family "Bacterial small subunit ribosomal RNA", at positions 338 to 795 of the family's 1533-position model. The record is from RNAcentral.
CCUACGGGGGGCAGCAGUGAGGAAUAUUGGUCAAUGGACGAGAGUCUGAACCAGCCAAGUAGCGUGAAGGAUGACUGCCCUAUGGGUUGUAAACUUCUUUUAUAUGGGAAUAAAACGUUCCACGUGUGGGAUUUUGUAUGUACCAUAUGAAUAAGGAUCGGCUAACUCCGUGCCAGCAGCCGCGGUAAUACGGAGGAUCCGAGCGUUAUCCGGAUUUAUUGGGUUUAAGGGGAGCGUAGGUGGGUUGUUAAGUCAGUUGUGAAAGUUUGCGGCUCAACCGUAAAAUUGCAGUUGAAACUGGCAGUCUUGAGUACAGUAGAGGUGGGCGGAAUUCGUGGUGUAGCGGUGAAAUGCUUAGAUAUCACGAAGAACUCCGAUUGCGAAGGCAGUUCACUGGACUGCAACUGACACUGAGGCUCGAAAGUGUGGGUAUCAAACAGGAUUAGAUACCCCAGUAGUC